This 253-nucleotide ribosomal RNA is filed under the name uncultured bacterium. RNAcentral's name for it is "partial 16S ribosomal RNA". It matches the Rfam family "Bacterial small subunit ribosomal RNA", at positions 524 to 776 of the family's 1533-position model. The record is from RNAcentral.
UACGUAGGGUGCAAGCGUUGUCCGGAAUUAUUGGGCGUGAAGAGCUCGUAGGCGGUUUGUUGCGUCGGCUGUGAAAUCCCGAGGCUCAACCUCGGGUCUGCAGUCGAUACGAGCAAACUAGAGUGUUGCAGGGGAGACUGGAAUUCCUGGUGUAGCGGUGAAAUGCGCAGAUAUCAGGAGGAACACCGGUGGCGAAGGCGGGUCUCUGGGCAACAACUGACGCUGAGGAGCGAAAGCGUGGGGAGCGAACAGG